Molecule: ribosomal RNA, 253 nt
Filed under: uncultured bacterium
Lineage: Bacteria
Description: partial 16S ribosomal RNA
Rfam family: Bacterial small subunit ribosomal RNA
Source: RNAcentral
UACGUAGGGGGCGAGCGUUGUCCGGAUUUAUUGGGCGUAAAGCGCGCGCAGGCGGUUCAUUAAGUCUGGUGCGAAAGCUCUCGGCUCACCUGGGAGAGGGCACUGGAGACUGGUGGACUGGAGCGAGGCAGAGGCCGGUGGAAUUCCCGGUGUAGUGGUGAAAUGCGUAGAGAUCGGGAGGAACACCAGUGGCGAAGGCGGCCGGCUGGGCCUUGACUGACGCUGAGGCGCGACAGCGUGGGGAGCGAACCGG